This 21-nucleotide non-coding RNA is filed under the name Caenorhabditis elegans. Lineage: Eukaryota; Metazoa; Nematoda; Chromadorea; Rhabditida; Rhabditidae. The record is from RNAcentral.
UGCAGGUACAAUAUAUUUGUU